UGAAGAACGUCGUGAGAAUUAUUUUAUUAUGUUUUAUUUUUAUUAUUUUAUUAUUUCCCUUCUACGUGACUUUACCGAAAGAACCAAGAAGAUGAAUCCCUGCAGUCACGAAAGCUUUAAAUCGAAAUUUAAUAUGGAUCUUUGUUUAUUUUGAUGGGACGCACCAGCUCUGGGCUGGCAUAACAACCCAGGGGUUUUCGCAGCGGCGGGCGCGGGCGUCUCUGCAUUCGCACGGUGCGCCGAACGCAGUUGACCGCUGGCGGUGAGUUGGGUGAUGGGGGGGGGGAGGUGGAGGUGAAGCUGAGUCCACGGCGCUCACCGUUGUGGCUGGAAGAGGGACGAUGGUCCAUCGCGUCCGAACCGCUGGGGGAAGUGCACGAAGGCGCGGGCCAGGCGGCCGAGCAGCAGCUGUUCGGACGAGGAGGGAACCGCGACGUCCGGAGAAGCGCGGUCGAAACUAUCCCGUCUGAACAACAACAAAGACAACAAAGACAACAAUAACAAAGACAACAACAACAAAGACAACAACAAAGACAACAACAACAAAGACAACAACAACAAAGACAACAACAACAAAGACAACAACAACCCAGCGGUAGACCGGUGCCUGGGCCCCACUGAAUGGCGUGGCUCGGUGCGAUGUGCACACACAGCCGUGCGCCCCAGCGCGGGUGGACACGGAGAGGCCGGGUUACCAGCGCUUGAUGUUCGAACCACACACACAACAGGUAAGUCGUGCUGGGCCGAAUCAAUGUAGGGGAACCCCAGGCCAGAUUCGGAUAAUAAUAAUAAUAAUAAUCUGAAGGAAAAAAAACAAAGUCGUUCGUCACGGCCAGGAAAGAAGCCCAGGUCAUGGGUGAGCACAGCUGACCACGAAGACUCCAUCAUCAAUCCUCAUUUGUCUCUGUCCACCACCGAUUAGCACGGUUGGCUACGUACGGUGCGAAAGAAGUUCAACAUACAUACGCACAAGACAAGAGGCACCCACGUGGUCAUCGUUUACGGGAGGCCCAGUACAAAUUCAAAUGCAACUUGUCACCGAUGUGCUGUUUGCGAGCACCUAUUGAGCCGGGUAAAGUGCAAACUAAUUUGAGGCACCCAGACCACCGGUUUGGUUAUUCGUCACCGGUGCUGGCGGCCGCGAGCGGGAAUCGAACUCCGGUCAGCAUCGCUCAAGCGCAGGGCCCAGUGGCAUUAAUUGUGGCCUCACAUGCCGUGUGUCGCACGACCACUUAAAAUGAUCACGUUUUCUCCCACCACUUCCCCGCGACACCAAAACCCUCAACAGACCCACGCACCCCCCCCCCCCGUCUCCCCAACCAUCUCCCUCAACAACCCACAGAGUCAGCCCCAUCGCUCACCCGACCGCCGGGCAACCAAUUGUUAGGCGGUCGGAUGUCGGCGUGGAUAUGGAUCGCGAGAA
Lethenteron reissneri (Far Eastern brook lamprey) is the source of this 1423-nucleotide long non-coding RNA. RefSeq lists it as uncharacterized. The record is from RefSeq and is a predicted model, not a curated record. NCBI's taxonomy places the organism in Eukaryota, Metazoa, Chordata, Hyperoartia, Petromyzontiformes, Petromyzontidae.